AAUUCAGUUUAGGGUUUAAAACCCUAAGCUGACUGGAAGGAAAAUUCAGUUUAGGGUUUAAAACCCUAAUGCUGAUUACAUGGAAAAGCUCUGUUUAGGGUUUAAAACCCUAAUGCUGGCUGAAAGGAAAAGUUCAGUUUAGGGUUUAAAACCCUAAUGCUGACUAAAAGGAAAAUUCAGUUUAGGGUUCAAAAACCCUAAUGUUGAUUGCAUGGAAAAGCUCAGUUUAGGGUUUAAAACCCUAAUGCUGGCUGAAUGGAAAAAGUUCAGUUUAGGGUUUAAAACCCUAAUGCUGAUUGCAUGGAAAAGCUCAGUUUAGAGUUUAAAACCCUAAUGCUGACUGAAAGAAAAAGUUCAGUUUAGGGUUUAAAACCCUAAUGCUGACUGAAAGGAAAAAGUUCAGUUUAGGGUUUAAAACCCUAAUGCUGACUAAAAGGAAAAGUUCAGUUUAGGGUUUAAAAGCCUAAUGCUGAUUGCAUGGAAAAGCUUAGUUUAGGGUUUAAAACCCUAAUGCUGGCUGAAAGGAAAAAGUUCAGUUUAGGGUUUAAAACCCUAAUGCUGACUAAAAGGAAAAGUUCAGUUUAGGGUUUAAAACCCUAAUGCUGAUUGCAUGGAAAAGCUCAGUUUAGGGUUUAAAACCCUAAUGCUGAUUGCAUGAAAAAGCUCAGUUUAGGGUUUAAAACCUUAAUGCUGGCUGAAAGGAAAAAGUUCAGUUUAGGGUUUAAAACCCUAAUGCUGAUUGCAUGGAAAAGCUCAGUUUAGGGUUUAAAACCCUAAUGCUGGCUGAAUGGAAAAGGUUCAGUUUAGGGUUUAAAACCCUAAUGCUGACUAAAAGGAAAAUUCAGUUUAGGGUUUAAAACCCUAAUGCUGGCUGAAAGGAAAAAGUUCAGUUUAGGGUUUAAAACCCUAAUGCUGACUAAAAGGAAAAGUUCAGUUUAGGGUUUAAAACCCUAAUGCUGACUAAAAGGAAAAGUUCAGUUUAGGGUUUAAAACCCUAAUGCUGAUUGCAUGGAAAAGCUCAGUUUAGGGUUUAAAACCCUAAUGCUGGCUGAAAGGAAAAAGUUCAGUUUAGGUUUAAAACCCUAAUGCUGACUAAAAGGAAAAGUUCAGUUUAGGGUUUAAAACUCUAAUGCUGAUUGCAUGGAAAAGCUCAGUUUAGGGUUUAAAACCCUAAUGCUGGCUGAAAGGAAAAAGUUCAGUUUAGGGUUUAAAACCCUAAUGCUGACUAAAAGGAAAAUUCAGUUUAGGGUUUAAAACCCUAAUGCUGACUAAAAGGAAAAUUCAGUUUAGGGUUUAAAACCCUAAUGCUGAUUGCAUUGAAAAGCUAAGUUUAGGGUUUAAAACCCUAAUGCUGGCUGAAAGGAAAAAGUUCAGUUUAGGGUUUAAAACCCUAAUGCUGAUUGCAUGGAAAAGCUCAGUUUAGGGUUUAAAAUCCUAAUGCUGGCUGAAUGGAAAAAGUUCAGUUUAGGGUUUAAAACCCUAAUGCUGACUAAAAGGAAAAGUUCAGUUUAGGGUUUAAAACCCUAAUGCUGACUGAAAGAAAAAGUUUAGUUUAGGGUUUAAAACCCUAAUGCUGACUGAAAGAAAAAGUUCAGUUUAGGGUUUAAAACCCUAAUGCUGACUGAAAGAAAAAGUUCAGUUUAGGGUUUAAAACCCUAAUGCUGACUAAAAGGAAAAUUCAGUUUAGGGUUUAAAACCCUAAUGCUGAUUGCAUGGAAAAGCUCAGUUUAGGGUUUAAAACCCUAAUGCUGACCAAAAGGAAAAUUCAGUUUAGGGUUUAAAACACUAAUGUUGAUUGCAUGGAAAAGCUCAGUUUAGGGUUUAAAACUCUAAUGCUGGCUGAAAGGAAAAA
Molecule: long non-coding RNA, 1852 nt
Filed under: Nicotiana tabacum (common tobacco)
Lineage: Eukaryota; Viridiplantae; Streptophyta; Magnoliopsida; Solanales; Solanaceae
Description: long non-coding RNA (NTAB_LNC000623)
Source: RNAcentral